GGUCAAGCGAACAAGUGCAUGUGGUGGAUGCCUUGGCGAUCACAGGCGAUGAAGGACGCGGUAGCCUGCGAAAAGCUACGGGGAGCUGGCAAACGAGCUUUGAUCCGUAGAUGUCCGAAUGGGGAAACCCACUCCUUUUGGAGUAUCCAUGGCUGAAUACAUAGGCCAUGCGAAGCGAACGCGGUGAACUGAAACAUCUAAGUAACCGCAGGAAAAGAAAUCAACCGAGAUUCCCAAAGUAGUGGCGAGCGAAAUGGGAUCAGCCUUGUACUCUUUAGC
RNAcentral lists this ribosomal RNA (279 nucleotides) under Mycobacterium tuberculosis. RNAcentral's name for it is "partial 23S ribosomal RNA". It matches the Rfam family "Bacterial large subunit ribosomal RNA", at positions 1 to 283 of the family's 2925-position model. The record is from RNAcentral. Lineage: Bacteria; Bacillati; Actinomycetota; Actinomycetes; Mycobacteriales; Mycobacteriaceae.